RNAcentral lists this ribosomal RNA (96 nucleotides) under Nocardioides sp. The record is from RNAcentral. Lineage: Bacteria; Bacillati; Actinomycetota; Actinomycetes; Propionibacteriales; Nocardioidaceae.
GAAACACCCGGUCCCAUCCCGAACCCGGAAGUUAAGCCUUUCAGCGCCGAUGGUACUGCGACCGCGAGGUCGUGGGAGAGUAGGACGCCGCCGGAC